GCAGGGUUAGCUCAGUUGGUUAGAACAUGGUGCUAAUAACGCCCAGUUCACAGGUUCAAUCCCUGCUUACUGCA
Molecule: transfer RNA, 74 nt
Filed under: Pelecanus crispus (Dalmatian pelican)
Lineage: Eukaryota; Metazoa; Chordata; Aves; Pelecaniformes; Pelecanidae
Rfam family: tRNA
About the family: Transfer RNA (tRNA) molecules are approximately 80 nucleotides in length.
Source: Rfam by way of RNAcentral